AAGUCGGUAACAAGGUUCCGUAGGUGAACCUGCGGAA
RNAcentral lists this ribosomal RNA (37 nucleotides) under Venturia inaequalis. RNAcentral's name for it is "partial 18S ribosomal RNA". The record is from RNAcentral. Lineage: Eukaryota; Fungi; Ascomycota; Dothideomycetes; Venturiales; Venturiaceae.